This 468-nucleotide ribosomal RNA is filed under the name uncultured bacterium. RNAcentral describes it as "partial 16S ribosomal RNA". It matches the Rfam family "Bacterial small subunit ribosomal RNA", at positions 28 to 507 of the family's 1533-position model. The record is from RNAcentral.
GACGAACGCUGGCGGCGUGCUUAACACAUGCAAGUCGAACGGAAAGGCCCGGCUUUUGUGGGGUACUCGUGUGUCGCGCGGGUGAGUCACACGUGGGUAACCUGCCCUUGGCUGUGGGCUACCUUCAGUAACCUGUGGCUAAUACCGGAUAAGAACUCCUGCUCCAUGGUGGGGGUUGGCGAGUUUCGGCGGUUUGGGAUGGACACGCGGCUUAUCAGCUUGUUGGUGGGGUAGUGGCUUACCAAGGCUUUGACGGGUAGCCGGCCUGAGCGGGGGACCGGCCACAUUGGGACUGAGAUACGGCCCAGACUCCUACGGGAGGAAGCAGUGGGGAAGAAUGCACAAUGGGCGGAAGCCGGAUGCAGCAACGCCGCGUGGGGGAGGAAGGCGGUCGGGUGGUAAACAGCUUCUGCCCGUGACGAAGCGUGAGUGACGGUAAUGGGUAAAGAAGCACCGGCUAACUACGUG